UACGGAGGGUGCAAGCGUUAUCCGGAUUCACUGGGUUUAAAGGGUGCGUAGGAGGGCAGGUAAGUCAGUGGUGAAAUCUUCGAGCUUAACUCGGAAACUGCCGUUGAUACUAUCUGUCUUGAAUACCGUGGAGAUGAGCGGAAUAUGUCAUGUAGCGGUGAAAUGCUUAGAUAUGGCACAGAACACCAAUAGUGAAGACAGCUUACGAGGGCGAAACUGACGCUGAGGCACGAAAGCGUGGGGAUCGAACAGG
Molecule: ribosomal RNA, 253 nt
Filed under: uncultured bacterium
Lineage: Bacteria
Description: partial 16S ribosomal RNA
Rfam family: Bacterial small subunit ribosomal RNA
Source: RNAcentral